RNA transcript from Dendrobium catenatum, 1126 nucleotides. RefSeq lists it as uncharacterized. Lineage: Eukaryota; Viridiplantae; Streptophyta; Magnoliopsida; Asparagales; Orchidaceae. The record is from RefSeq and is a predicted model, not a curated record. The transcript is spliced from 3 exons.
CCGAUCCAAUUCUCAAGUACUUUCACAGCCAUGGAAAGCUGAUACUAUACCUCCUCCCAAAAAUGGCGUCUUUUCAUCUAAAUCUAUCCCCGACUCCUCUCCUGCCCAUUACCAGGCCUUCACAAGGUUCCAUCCGCAAGCCCCCAGUACAGCUCUCUUCCACUCUCCUGUCUCCCUCGUCUCUUCUCUCAAAGCUCGAGCCUCCUCCGGUCCUAGAACCUCUCCACGAUAAGUCUCCGGCGUCGCAAGAUAAGCAUGCCACGCCGCCGCUGCGGCCGCGGACACCGCCGCCGACGCCCCACGGGCGUAAGAACGACUUCUACCUCAACCUUGGCGUCGCCGUCCGCACCCUCCGCGAUGAUCUCCCUUCCCUCUUCUCCAAAGACCUCAAUUACGACAUCUACAGAGAAGACAUCACUUUCAUCGACCCUCUGAAUACGUUUCAAGGGAUGAGUAACUAUCGGCUCAUCUUCUGGGCUCUAAGAUUCCAUGGACGGAUUCUCUUCAGAGAGAUUAGGGUCGAGGUGUUCCGGGUAUGGCAACCCUCGGAAAAUUCGAUUUGGAUUAGAUGGGAGAUGCAGGGAGUUCCUCGCGUGCCAUGGGGGGCCAAGGGGCGGUUCCAGGGGACUUCAAGAUACAAAGUUGAUCGGAACGGGAAGAUUUAUGAGCACAAGGUAGACAAUCUAGCAUUCAAUUUUCCGCAAACUAUGGCAAGACCAGCAACCGUGUUGGACUUUGUGGGUGCAACUUGUCCUCCCAGUCCCAACUUAACGUUUUGGGGAGAUCCGUAUGAGGAAUUGGCUUCAUGCUCAUGGCUUGAGCUUUACAGGGCAGUGAGGGGGACUUUAGUUCAGGAAGAGCAGUUUCUGGUUCGUCCAGGGCUUGAUAGCUUGGUCGGUUGUGCGUAGGAUAGUUGGGAGGAAUGGAGGAGGAUGGUUAUAGGAAGCAUCAAGGGGGAAUGUUCCGUUUCGUUUGUACUUAGGUCUCUAUCCUACUGUAUAUUGCGAAGAAAAUUCUCUGAAGAUGGCCUGUGAAUUUCUCUAUUCCUGUGGUAUUUUCCUUCCCAUGACUCUGUUGAUUGGAUCCUGUGUUUCCAUUGACUUCUCUAUGAAACAGUUUUUUUGAU